CGUGUGGGCUGGACGGCCGCUUCCGCAACCGGGAGAGGAAAGUCCGGACUCCGCAGAGCAAGGAUGCCGGGUAAUUCCCGGGCGCCGCGAGGCGACGGAAAGUGCAGCAGAGAGAAUACCGCCGAUGGCGUCUUCGGACGCACAGGCAAGGGUGAAAGGGUGCGGCAAGAGCGCACCGCGCAGCUGGCAACAGGUGUGGCACGGCAAACCCCAUCCGGAGCAAGGCCAAGAAGGGACGCUGAUGCUGCUCGCAUAGUCCCGGGUAGGCCGCAUGAGGCUGUCGGUGACGGCAGUCCCAGAUGCAUGGUCGUCCUCGACAGAAUCCGGCUUACAGGCUCGCACGCUGC
RNAcentral lists this RNase P RNA (347 nucleotides) under Betaproteobacteria bacterium. RNAcentral describes it as "RNase P RNA component class A". It matches the Rfam family "Bacterial RNase P class A". From Rfam's summary of the family: Ribonuclease P (RNase P) is a ubiquitous endoribonuclease, found in archaea, bacteria and eukarya as well as chloroplasts and mitochondria. Its best characterised activity is the generation of mature 5'-ends of tRNAs by cleaving the 5'-leader elements of precursor-tRNAs. Lineage: Bacteria; Pseudomonadati; Pseudomonadota; Betaproteobacteria. The record is from RNAcentral.